RNAcentral lists this ribosomal RNA (430 nucleotides) under uncultured bacterium. Its description in RNAcentral is "bacterial SSU rRNA". It matches the Rfam family "Bacterial small subunit ribosomal RNA", at positions 32 to 441 of the family's 1533-position model. The record is from RNAcentral.
AAUCAACGCUGGCGGCGUGCCUCAGACAUGCAAGUCGAACGCGAAAGGUUCCUUCGGGAACCGAGUAGAGUGGCGCACGGGUGAGUAACACGUAGGUAAUUUGCCUUUGGGUGGGGAAUAACAGCCGGAAACGGCUGCUAAUACCGCAUAAUGCAGCGGCUCGACAUCGAGACAGUUGUUAAAGCGGGGGAUCGCAAGACCUCGCGCCUAAAGAGAAGCCUGCGGCAGAUUAGCUAGUUGGUAGGGUAAUGGCCUACCAAGGCGACGAUCUGUAACCGGCCUGAGAGGGCGGUCGGUCACACUGACACUGACAUACGGGUCAGACUCCUACGGGAGGCAGCAGUCGGGAAUUUUGGGCAAUGGGCGAAAGCCUGACCCAGCAACGCCGCGUGAAGGAUGAAAUCCCUCGGGAUGUAAACUUCGCAAGAAU